Molecule: small nucleolar RNA, 129 nt
Organism: Fukomys damarensis (Damara mole-rat)
Lineage: Eukaryota; Metazoa; Chordata; Mammalia; Rodentia; Bathyergidae
Source: Ensembl
UUCCAAAGUGUUGAGUUCAGUUCAGGGCCACUUCCCUGGUCUGUUAAUUAAACUUUGGGACAUUGAAAUGGGCUACAGGUGAUGAUUGAAUAAAAAAUAUAUAUCGAGUUCAUCUCUGAGCCUACAGAA